AUUGAACGCUGGCGGCAGGCCUAACACAUGCAAGUCGAACGAGUGGCGGACGGGUGAGUAAUGUCUGGGAAACUGCCCGAUGGAGGGGGAUAACUACUGGAAACGGUAGCUAAUACCGCAUACCAUCGGAUGUGCCCAGAUGGGCUUAGCUAGUAGUUGGGGUAACGGCUCACCUAGGCGACGAUCCCUAGCUGGUCUGAGAGGAUGACCAGCCACACGGGAACGGAGACACGGUCCAGACUCCUACGGGAGGCAGCAGUGGGGAAUAUUGCACAAUGGGCGCAAGCCUGAUACAGCCAUGCCGCGUGUAUGAAGAAGGCCUUCGGGUUGUAAAGUACUUUCAGCGGGGAGGCGUUACCCGCAGAAGAAGCACCGGCUAACUCCGUGCCAGCCGCCGCGGUAAUUC
RNAcentral lists this ribosomal RNA (406 nucleotides) under uncultured bacterium. Its description in RNAcentral is "partial 16S ribosomal RNA". It matches the Rfam family "Bacterial small subunit ribosomal RNA", at positions 30 to 526 of the family's 1533-position model. The record is from RNAcentral.